RNAcentral lists this long non-coding RNA (6146 nucleotides) under Xyrichtys novacula (pearly razorfish). Lineage: Eukaryota; Metazoa; Chordata; Actinopteri; Labriformes; Labridae. The record is from RNAcentral.
UGGCAUUGGAUUUGGGAGUUGAUUUUAAGUCCAUCUUCAUCUCGAAAAGGUCCAGCUAGCUCAUCUUUAAUAAUACCAGCCCAUACCAGUACCCAGCCUCCACCUUGCUGGUGUCUGAUUCGAAGUGGAGCCCUGUGCCCAUUACUGAUCCAGCCACGGGUCCAUCCAUCUGGUCCAUCAAGAGUCACUCUCAUCCCAUCAGUCCAUAAAACCUUUGAAAAGUCUCUCUUCAGAUAUUUCUUGGCCCAGUCUUGACGUUUCGACUUGUGUCUUGUUCAGUGGUGGUCAGAUUUCAGCCUUCCUUACCUUGGCCAUGUCUCUGAGCACUGAACACCUUGUACUUCUGGGCACUCCAGGUAGGUUGCAGUUCUGGAAUAUGACAGCACUGGAGGAUAUUGGGUUCCUGGUAGCUUUACGUUUGAGUCUUCUCAAAUCUUUGGCAGUUAAUUCGCGUCUUUUUUUCUUAACACAUUUCUUGCGACCCUGUUGACUAUUUGCAUCAAAAUGUUUGAUGGUUCUGUGAUCACGCCCAAAUAUCUAAGAAAUUUCAAGAGUGCUGCAUCCCUCUGAAAGACUUUUUACAUUUUUUGACUUUUCAGAGUCACUUAAAUCUCUUUUUUGGCCCAUUUUACCUGAGGAAAAGAAGCUGCCUAAUAAUUAUGCACACCUUGAUAUAGGGUUUUGAUCUCCUUAGGCCCCAGCCUCCCUCAAUACACAUUACCUGAUAUGCUUAUAUCCAAUAAGCAUUCAAGUUUAUACAGCUUAGAGUUGGAAAAUAUGCAUAAAAAUGAUGAUAUGAUCAAAAUACUCACUUGCCUAAUAAUUGUGCACACAGUGUUUUCUAACUUCUCUCUCCAAUAGCUUUAUUACACAGCACAAAAAUGUUUCUUAUCUUCUCUGUGACCUUGUUUCUCCUAUUAGCAGGUGUGUGUGUGAUGUAUCCUCCACUGUGAAUCGUGGGAAGUAAUGAGGAGGAUCCGCUCCUAUCAGAAGGAGCUUGUUUAAUGUCAACAGUGUUGCCUUGACCCUCACAUAUGUUCUGUUGUUCAUAAUUAUGUUUUAUGAGAAUGCUAACAUUGGUGCACAUAUUUUUCCCCCAUCCUUUAGUACCAUUGUGUAACCAGGGACAACCCUAAAUAAAGAGACUGUGGUGCUGUUGGUGCUGUUAUUCCAUUAUUGCAAAUGAAUCUCAUCACCCUGUGAUGAAGAAAAUGAAAAUAAGACCAUCUUAAGAAUUCUGGCACUUUCAUGAUCAUUUCUAAUUGUACAGAAAAAGUGAAAUAUUGCAAAGAGUAUAAAUGGUAGAAAGGUGAAAAGUAAUACUUAUCAUGUCCUUAGGGAGUGCAUUACUAUCAAGUGUGAAUGGUUAAAAUAGCACAAAGUGGGAAGGAGAGAAAAAGUAACAAAUAUUGGUGUUAGAAGAAAAAACGGCCGACAGGAUUAUCAAUUACAACUUGAAAAACUGCGUUUCCUUGCAGAAAAUGCAUGGAAAUGCUGAAUGAUGAAACAGCCAUGCAGAACUGCUACGAAAGAAGAAAAGUAUAAAUGUUAAAUGUCUUGAAGAGGUGGAGAACAAGAAGAAAUUAUGUAGAAAUUUUAGCAUAGCUGCAGUUAAACAUACAUGAAGUUGUAGAAAAGCAGCAGUUGGAGAAGUGUUUUACAUGCUGACAUUUUCAAUAACCUUAAAAAAAAAAUUGUAUGAGUGUUGUCAAUAAACAGAGAUUAGGAUUAGUUAACCCUUGUGUAACCGUUAGAUUUACAUCAGUUGUUAACGCUCAGUGGCUAAAAGAAGCCACUGACAUUGACUGCUGUAAUAACAUAUUGGGUUCAUAUGUUUUCCAGAUUUUUUUUCACACAUCUCUCAAUUAAUUUCUGCCCUGAUCAAAAAUAGUAAAUUUUUUACCUAAAAACAAUUUUUUGAGCCUUUGAGAGUCCAUUCAAAACAUAACGCCACUGCUAUGGUACAAAAAUACACAAAAAUGACUCACUUAACUUCAAUCUCGCCAAAACAAACUAUGACCAUAGCCAACACAUCAAAACAACACUUAAACAACAGCUAAUCACAAGGGGUAACCAACUCAACAGAUGCAUGCCAAAACACAUAAUCACAAACCUUCAAUCUUGCCUAAACGAACAAAAACAACAGCUUAACACAAGGGGUAACCAGUUCAACAGAUAAACAUAUCGGGCUCUAUUUUGGUGCCUCGCCGGAGACGUGCCGCAAGUUCAGCGUCAGUCAGAUCCGCCGCGCUGACAAGGCGUUCCCAAGCACAUUUUGGUAUUUUGGUGAGCCGCGCUGCCCGGCGUAAGUAUCCCCCCUCCCUAACUCAGCUCCUCCCAGCAGCAUAAGUCGUAGACGGGGAGGAGAAAGGGCGUGGAGUGGAUUUAACACAGCCGAGACCUGUUUUCACCAAUCACAUAAGCUCCUCUCCUUGCCUUUAAAUCCGCCACAGGCGAGGCGUAUUACUAUUUUCAUGAAGUAGUCAAAGAGAUCAAGAGAUGUCUUAAGACAGUAAUGCCACAAGAUGACGACAGAGGGCAGCUCCUCAACAAGUGUCCUCCACACUCUCUCAUCUGAGCACAGAUGGAUUUGGUGUGUGUAAUGUUGGACCCACUGGUAAGACAAACACCCUUUUCCACAAAUAAAGACACUCACAUAAAGUUGCAUAUAUUCAAACCUCACGUGACAAAGGUGGGUUGAGCGCACAGAUCACAACAUAAACUCCAAAAAUGGCAUUAAAAAUGGAACCAUCUGUGCGUAAAUGACGCAUCGCGCUCCGUGACCUGGCUCUUUCUUUCAUAGAUGUUGGCAUAUAAAAUAAAUUUGCCUCACAAAACUGAAUAUUAUAAUAUCCGCAUGUAGGCUUAAAGUAGAUAACACAUCUGAGCACUGAAACAAAUCAUCUGUUCAGCCGCAGCAGCAGCAAGAAGGACAGAGGACACAGAGACGUGUCCAGGUCCAGCUGUGUGAGAAAUAAGAGGAAGAGGAAGAUAGAAAAGGAGGGAGACAAAUUACAUAUCUUGUUAACUUCAUCAUGUGUGUUUAUUUACUAGAUAUUUAAUUUAAUUUGAUGCGGUUUCAGCUGUGUUGAUUCGGUCAGGUUGUGUGUCCAAACGCGUGCCAAACGCACUCAUCAGAUCACAUAUAGAUCAGAAUAUAUCAAUAUAGAUCUAUGUGCUGACUCAGAUUAAUAGUUGAUGAUGAUUAUUUAUUGCAGGGCAUCAGUGACGUAUGUCGAUACGCCGCCGGUCUACCAAAAUACUACUAGACCAGCUGCGCUCCGCCAUGCGCUGAAAGCUGACCAGGUUUGAAUCGGCGAGCUUUCAGCGCACUUUACACGCCGGUGGCGAGCACGAAAAUGUCACUGCGCCUGCUGAUUCUGUCGACACCUCCCCCUGCCACGCCACCACGCCCAGCUUGGCGGAUCUCGGCUCGCCUCCGUGAGGCUCAGUCUACAAAAAUACCAAACUGGACUUACGCCAGGCUCCGCCAGACGAAAAUACAACUGCGCGGGGCUCGCCGCCCUCCGCCGCCUCACCGGCGCGCACGAAAAUAGAGCCCAUCAACUGCAUGCAGGAACACUAGCUCACUUAACUUCAAUCUCGCCAAAACAAACUAUGAUCAUAACAAGCCAACACAUCAAAACAACUUUUAAAUAACAGCUACACAGAAGGGGUAACCAACUCAACAGAUGCAUGUGUUAGGCAGAGAGAGACACUUUCAGAAAGUACGGGAGAAGGAGCAUCCCGUUUUAGUUCAUUACGCGACAUGUCUUUUUGUUUUCAGAUACGGUAUGAUCCCGUUUUUUACGGUACGGUUGGGAACCCUAGAGCACCCAUUCCUGGCUUUUGUCAAGUUCUUCGAACAUGUUUUUGUAGAGUUUGUUUACAUUAAAGGGGAUGUAUUUCCUCAUGUCAACAAAAUUACCGUUAUUGUUAAAAAGGAACUUAACUUAAUUUUCAGAAGUAUAUUUCUGCAUUCCUGUCAUGUUGCUGAUUCCAUCUGUUUCUGAGUAUAAUGGUGGACCUCACAAUGAGCCUUACUCAUAACCUGCUGUACCAACAGAAAAAGGAUAACAAUCCUGAACAAUGCUGAGAAUGUUGUCUCAGUCCAUUGUUGUUGAUCGUAUCUAAUGAUUGUUUUUUCGUUUUUAAUUAUUUAUUAAUGUGGUGUAUUUAUUAAACUAUGUAUUUAUUUAUUUAUCUAUCUAUUUAUUAAUUUAUUCGAAUCAAGAUAUUCAAAAUAAAAGCUAUAUGUAAAAAUAACAAAAUAAAUGAAUGGUUUUAAAUUUUUUUAUGCUUUUUGUGUUAGGUUCGGGGAUAUAGGGGUUUGAGCCACUUUUGACAUGGCGGUUCAUUGCCUUUACCAAGGUCGAACCAUCCUGAGAUUUUGUGGAUUGGUGUCACGGUACUGGAGGCGACCACCCCUCCUCCUGUAUUGCACCUCAGUCCAUUGAUCGUAGGCCAUGACUGUUUUUAUCCUUUUUAAUUAUUUAUUACUAUUUAUUGUAUAUUGUGUAUUUCUCAAACUAUUUAUUCAUUUAUUUGUGUAUCUAUCUAUUUAUAAUGUAUUCAAAUCAAGGUAUUCAAAACAAAAGCUGUAUAUGAAAAUAACAAAAUAAAUGAAAUGUUCUUUAUUUUUUUAUGCUUUUUUUUCUAAAAUAAAAAUGAAAUAAAAUGAAAUAAAAGUAAAAUAACAAAAUAAAAUGUCUAUUAAAAUGAAGAAUUGAAGAAAAGGUGUGGGGGAAAAGUGCCCAGUUGCGCAACGUUUCGACCGCUGUGGGUCUUCUUCAGGCUCUGGGCACUGUGAGAAAUAUGUCUGGGCUUGUUGAUUCAGGGUGUGAGAUGUUCUCCCUUCAGCAGACUCAGCCAGAAUGAGAGGAGCCAAGGUUUGUGUGUGUGUUCUAUUUAUAGAGGCGGGGAGAGCAAAGAAUGCAGAAUGCAGCUGCACUCUGAUGAGUCAUGGAGAGGCUCCGGCAGUCUGUGUGUGUAUGAACCACUAAAUGCCUACUGAAUUUAAAUGAAAUGAAUGUUGAUGGUCAAUUGUAAUGUUGAAGCUGAUUAAUGAAUUGUACUUUUAAUGCCCAAUUAGAAUUUUUUUACCCUCUUUUUAACUGAUUAAAUUUAAUUAAUUGUAAUUUUAAUGCCCAAUUUUAACUUUUAUAUUUUAAAUCCAUAAUUGUCAAUUAGAAUUGUAAUGCGUUUGAAUUUUAAAGAUAGUUUUAUUUUAGCCCUUAAUUCCCUUUUUAGAUUUUAGAUUAGAUAUACAUUUGUAAUACUUUUGGUUUUAAUGUGAAAUUAUUACUAUUUUUAGCCUGCUAUGAAAUUUAAUAAUUAAAAAUGAAUUCAAAUGAAUUAAUUAAAAUAAAUUAUUAGUUUUUUAAAGGUUAGGGUUAGGGGUCAGGGCAAGGGUCAGAGAGGUUAGGGUUAGGGUUAGGGUUAGGGUUAGAGGGGUUAGGGCUAGGGUUAGAUGGUUAGGGUUAGGGUCAGAGAGGUUAGGGUUAGGGUUAGGGUUAGGGUUAGGGUUAGAGGGGUUAGGGCUAGGGUUAGAUGGUUAGGGUUAGGGUUAGAUACCUAGUUAGGUGUUAGUUUAGGGCUAGGGAUUAGGGGUUAGUGGUUAGGGUUUGGUGGUUAGAGUUAGGGUUAGGGUUAAGGUUAGGGGGUUAGGGUUAGGGAUUAGGGUUAGGGGGUUCGGGUUAGGCUUAGGGGUUAGGGAAAGGGUGAGGGAUUAGGGUUAUGGUUGGGGUAGGGUGAGGGGUAGGGUUAGGGGUUAGGGUUAGUUGUUAUGAUCAUAGUUUGUUUUGGCGAGAUUGAAGGUAUAUGAGCAUGUUUUAUGGCACACAUCUGUUGAGUUGUUGUUUAAGUGUUGUUUUGAUGUGUUGGCUUGUUGUUUUGAUAGUAUUUUUGGGAAUUGAAAUUAAGUGAGCUAGUGUUAUCACAUGCAGUUGAUAUGUUUAUCUGUUGAACUGGUUACCCCUUGUUUUUAGCCGUUGUUUAAGUGUUCUUUUGAUGUGUUGGCUUGUUGUUAUGAUCAUAGUUUGUUUUGGCGAGUUUGAAGGUUUGUGAGUAUGUGUUAUGGCAUGCAUCUGUUGAGUUGGUUAUCCCUUCUGUUUAACUGUUGUUAAAGUGUUGUUUAGAUGUGUUGG